This 454-nucleotide ribosomal RNA is filed under the name Porphyromonas sp. oral taxon B43. RNAcentral describes it as "bacterial SSU rRNA". It matches the Rfam family "Bacterial small subunit ribosomal RNA", at positions 28 to 468 of the family's 1533-position model. The record is from RNAcentral. Lineage: Bacteria; Pseudomonadati; Bacteroidota; Bacteroidia; Bacteroidales; Porphyromonadaceae.
GAUGAACGCUAGCGAUAGGCUUAACACAUGCAAGUCGAGGGGCAGCAUGGUCUUAGCUUGCUAAGACUGAUGGCGACCGGCGCACGGGUGCGUAACGCGUAUGCAACUUGCCUCACAGAGGGGGAUAACCCGUCGAAAGACGGACUAAUACCGCGUACACUUAUCGGAGGGCAUCCUUUGGUAAGGAAAUGAAAUUCGCUGUGAGAUAGGCAUGCGUCCCAUUAGCUCGUUGGUGAGGUAACGGCUCACCAAGGCAACGAUGGGUAGGGGAACUGAGAGGUUGAACCCCCACACUGGUACUGAGACACGGACCAGACUCCUACGGGAGGCAGCAGUGAGGAAUAUUGGUCAAUGGGCGAGAGCCUGAACCAUGCCAUAGUCGCGUGAAUGGAUGACUGUCUUAUGGAUUGUAAACUUCUUUUGUAGGGGAAUAAAGACUAGUACGUGUACUGGA